Molecule: long non-coding RNA, 620 nt
Filed under: Brassica napus (rape)
Lineage: Eukaryota; Viridiplantae; Streptophyta; Magnoliopsida; Brassicales; Brassicaceae
Description: long non-coding RNA (BNAP_LNC002046)
Source: RNAcentral
UAAGGAGCUAUUAGACAAUAAACCCCAAAUUGGAUAGGAAAAAAGAAAAGGUUUACCAGGAUCAGAUUCUACAGGGAGCCAAGACAUGAUUUCACGAUGAACAAAAUGAAAAUGGGAUUGAGAAAUUGGAGAUUAUGAUUUAUAUCUAUCGAGAUUCGCUAAUCCCCCUUCUUCGAGCUCAUCGUCUUCUCAAGGAGGUGUUGUUGAGUCAAUCAAGAGUCUCUCCCCUCUCUCUCUAUACUGGUGUGGUCUCGACUCUCCUCGUCUUCUCGUAUAUAAACCGAGUCUAAUCGAACCGAAGCAUUAGAUGAAUUAAACCGGUAUUGACUCAAAAAAUUUAUAACAAAAAUAAGAAGCAAACCGAAUCAGACCACACUUUUAAUUCUAUUAAAAACAAUCAAACCGAACCGAGAACUGAAUGUUCUUCUCUCCAUUCACCCGUCUUUCUCAGCUACGAGUCAACAGCCGUUUUCUCUAGACCAGAAGCUGGUGUUGUUAUGCCUCAUGCCUGAACCUACUAGUCAUCAUGGCUUACAGUUCCAACUCUUAUGGUCUUGUGAAUUGAACAGUUGGCGUGGUGUUCUUGGCCACUAUAAUAAACUUUAACCAACCAGUAAUCA